RNAcentral lists this ribosomal RNA (172 nucleotides) under uncultured bacterium. RNAcentral describes it as "partial 16S ribosomal RNA". It matches the Rfam family "Bacterial small subunit ribosomal RNA", at positions 338 to 524 of the family's 1533-position model. The record is from RNAcentral.
CCUACGGGAGGCAGCAGUGGGGAAUUUUCCGCAAUGGGCGAAAGCCUGACGGAGCAAUACCGCGUGAGGGAUGACGGCCCUUGGGUUGUAAACCUCUUUUAUCAAGGAGGAAGUUCUGACGUGUACUUGAUGAAUAAGCAUCGGCUAACUCCGUGCCAGCAGCCGCGGUAAU